GACGAACGCUGGCGGCGUGCUUAACACAUGCAAGUCGAACGGAAAGGCCCUGCUUUUGUGGGGUGCUCGAGUGGCGAACGGGUGAGUAACACGUGAGUAACCUGUCCUUGACUUUGGGAUAACUUCAGGAAACUGGGGCUAAUACCGGAUAGGAGCUCCUGCUGCAUGGUGGGGGUUGGAAAGUUUCGGCGGUUGGGGAUGGACUCGCGGCUUAUGAGCUUGUUGGUGGGGUAGUGGCUUACCAAGGCUUUGACGGGUAGCCGGCCUGAGAGGGUGACCGGCCACAUUGCGACUGAGAUACGGCGCAGACUCCUACGGGAGGCAGCAGUGGGGAGUCUUGCAGAAUGGGCGGAAGCCUGAUGCAGAAACCCCGCGUGCGGGAUGACGGCUUUCGGGUUGUAAACAGCUUUCGACUGUGCCGAAGACUGAGUGACGGUAAUGGGUAAGAAAGCACCGGCUAACUACGUG
Molecule: ribosomal RNA, 468 nt
Filed under: uncultured bacterium
Lineage: Bacteria
Description: partial 16S ribosomal RNA
Rfam family: Bacterial small subunit ribosomal RNA
Source: RNAcentral